This 437-nucleotide ribosomal RNA is filed under the name uncultured Oscillospiraceae bacterium. RNAcentral describes it as "bacterial SSU rRNA". It matches the Rfam family "Bacterial small subunit ribosomal RNA", at positions 341 to 792 of the family's 1533-position model. Lineage: Bacteria; Bacillati; Bacillota; Clostridia; Eubacteriales; Oscillospiraceae. The record is from RNAcentral.
ACGGAAGGCAGCAGUGGGGAAUAUUGGGCAAUGGGCGCAAGCCUGACCCAGCAACGCCGCGUGAAGGAAGAAGGCUUUCGGGUUGUAAACUUCUUUUAUCAGGGACGAAAAUAAUGACGGUACCUGAAGAAUAAGCCACGGCUAACUACGUGCCAGCAGCCGCGGUAAUACGUAGGUGGCAAGCGUUGUCCGGAUUUACUGGGUGUAAAGGGCGCGUAGGCGGGGAAGCAAGUCAGGUGUGAAAUCUAUGGGCUUAACCCAUAAACUGCACUUGAAACUGUUUUUCUUGAGUGUCGGAGAGGUAGAUGGAAUUCCUAGUGUAGCGGUGAAAUGCGUAGAUAUUAGGAGGAACACCAGUGGCGAAGGCGAUCUACUGGACGAUACCUGACGCUGAGACACGAAAGUGUGGGGAGCAAACAGGAUUAGAUACCCUGGUA